Molecule: long non-coding RNA, 3582 nt
Filed under: Homo sapiens (human)
Lineage: Eukaryota; Metazoa; Chordata; Mammalia; Primates; Hominidae
Description: HSALNT0033215
Source: RNAcentral
AAUUUAUGUAUAUGUAGAAAUGAAUACACUAAUAAUUAUUUAGAUUUUAAGCAAAAAUACUCACAUACUUUUAUAGAUACAAACAUAUACCUAUUUUUCAUCUACCUAUCUCUCAGACUUCCAUGUGCUGACUGAAAAUGUUUGCAUCCAGUAAACAUUUUGAUUAGAUAAUUUUUUAAGGAUUGUAGAUAAUGAAGAUGGCUUUAGAUUUUUGAAAGUUUAACGUAGAACUUUAACAUUCAAACCUGGCAUUCUACUCACUCUCUUUUUGGAGCUAAUGGAAUUCAGCAGUUAACAUUUUAUGAAAAUGUAUGAGGAAGUGCCAAGACAAAGAAAGUUGUGUUUAUACAUAAUCCACCCUUGACUUCCACAAAGCUUUGAUAUAAUGGGCAACAUGUAAGACUCCUCCAUAGACUCAGGGGCAAAGAAGUUAAGACUAAAGCCAAAUGGCCAGGCAUAAAAAAGGUAGUGUGUGUGUCUAAGUGGAAGGGAGAUGGGAGAUGUUCUCAAAAGCAGAGAGGGUCUCCAGGAAUAGUUUACUUUUUAAUAAUAAUACCAUAAUGAUCCAAUGGGAGGAAAUAGCAAAGAGGAAGGAGAGUCAAUGAUACUAAACUACAAAAGCUCAGGCCUAAACUCAUGAAAUGCAAAUGUACUUUUUUCCCCCAAAGCACCUGAGGAAUAAAGUCAAAAAAAGAGUUAAGAUCAUGCGUUAGUGGCUGGAACACAUGAGACAGUUUUAUGUAUCUUUGACUUACCACAGCUCUAGGCUUCUAAGCCAUUCUAAGACACUCUUUUUGAAGGGAAACACUACAUUAAAUGUGCACGUUGACUCUAGAACAUAUUCUGGUUGCAGAAAUGUAAAAAUAUGUGUGUUGGGGGUGGGGGUAGUGCAUCUUAAAAUUGAGGAAAUAAGGUAAAUAUUUUCCUCGAACCAUUUAGAAUAAGAGAGAAGUAUUUGGUGAAUAGCCUCAAAUGAUAACAAGGCUUAACAGAGAGCAGAACACUCAGUGAGGUACAAUUAAACAAGCAGUUAAAUAAUCUAACAUACAAGUGCUUAAACAAACAAUCACAGACUGUCCUGUCACUGCUCAGUGUGCAGAGCAUGAGUCAGAAGAAAUUAUUUCAGCGCCAUUGAAAGGAAAAGCCAUGUUGUGCUCAAUUCUGGUUGACUUACUGCAAAUAAGGAUAUUAGAGAAAAUGAGACGUUUAUGGCAGAAGGUAGAUAAAGGUAUUCAGUGACUCAAGGAAAUUAAUUAUAGAGGAAAAAUUAAAAAAACUAGGUGUGCCUGUGAUGACCUCAUUGAGGUAAGCUAGGAUGACAGCUGUUGCAAGGGUGGAUACCCUGAAGGGAUCUGCAUUGAUUACAGCUCUAAAGGAAAGCAUACUAGUCCUCAAGAGAGGCAGGCAUGAGCAAAAUUUAAUUGAUAGCUCUCAUCCAUCCCUUGAUAUUAGUUAAUAUAGGAAAGAAACAGUUCUGAUAAGUGAUUAAGAUGAAUGCAAACAAUCUAAAUAUGGACCUGAUUAAGAAUUCAGACAGAAAAAUAAACUAUUAUGGAGGCACAUCUUUUAACAUUUACUUCAUCUGGACUUUUGCUGACCCUGAAAAAAUUCUUUACUUAAGGAGAGGGGAAAAAAUGUACCCUCUUAUUGUCUAGAACUGGUGUCUGAAUUCAGGCUCUAAGUUGACUUUAUAUCCAACAAAGUUUUAGUAUCAGGCAAGUUUUUUUUUCUUUGUUUAUUCCUGGGAUUAAAAUAGUACACAAACUGACAAAAGUAGUUCAGACACCACAUGUCAGCUGUGACACACCACGCUGUGAUUCUCAUACUCAUCAACCCCUAAAUAACUUUGAGACUAGAACUGUGUGACGUCCCUCAGGUGUCUGCUCCCUCUCUCAUUUUAGUUAUUUGCUUCUAGAGCACAGUGAUUUCAGCUUUCAGUGGAAGAAAACAGAAGGGAAAAAAAAAGUGCCCCAACUUUAUAAAAACCCAGAAUAAACAUGAACAAUAGGUAAGGUAAACACUCAUCUGACUUAAGAGGUUGAUCAAGAUGGCUCUGCGGAAUAUUUUUAUGAUGGUUUGCCAACUGAGAUGGUUUGCCAAACCUUGGCAUUCAAGAGGCAGAUUUAGGCGGUAUUAAAUAAAAGUAUCGGGACAGCCCAGAAUUGACCCAGAAAAUAACUCAGUGAAACACAAAUGCUCUUAAAACCUCACCAUCCUGUGAUUGAGAGUAAGGUCACAUUUAACAGUAAUGGCUGAUAUUCCUGGAGUAAAGAAGGAUUUUCUUAAAACAACAUUACAUAAUCUAGUUCCUAAAAAGUUUAAACCUUUAUAUAACUAAAGGCAAUAUUAACAGAGUUGAAGUGAGUGAAAAAUGAAAAAAUACUAAAAUAUAGUUUAAACCUAAACAAAAAGGUUAUUAUCUUAAUAUAAAAGGCUACUAUCUUCAUCUAUAGAAGUUCUUGCAAAAAAAGAAAAGAUUGAUAAUUGCAGGAAUAAAUGGACUACUGAUAAAAAUAAAACAGCUGUUUAAUUAGCAAUACAAAAGAAAACAUUGAAGUAAUAUGCCCUACCUCUUAUGAAAAUAAAUUGUUAGUACUCUGAACUUGGCAAGAUGCAGAGGGAAUGAGAAACUCUCUUAGAUGAGAGAUGAGAAAUGAGGUUUUAAAUUGGAAACUUUCUGGUGGGUGAUUUGGUAAGGUAAAUAAAAAAAUUUUAAUGUGUAUGUUUUGCUGAGCAAUUCCACUCCAGGGAAUAUAUUCCAAUGAAGGAGUUGGAUAAAUACACAAAGAUUAUGUGUACAUAUGUAAUAAUUUUACAAUAAUAAAAUAAUACAGGAAGGUUGAAAAUAACUGUAAUGUUUAUUAGUAAAGUUUCAUAAAUAAAGCCUGGUAGUUCCAUAAAAUGAAAAACUGUAAAGACAUCAAAAGGAUAAAGUGAUUAUUAUGUAGAGUUUUAAAAAUAUAAGUGUGGUUCAACACUAAGAAAUUGAGUAGUAUAAUUUCCUAUGUUAACAUUAUAAAAGAGUAUAUGAGCAUACAUAUAAAUAUUUGUGAUAGACCCAACAAUGGCCCUCCAAAGGAAAUCCAGGAAAUGUGAACAUGGAGGCAGAGAUUUAAAUGAUGCAGCCAAAAACCAAGGAAUGCCAGCAGCCACCAGAAGCUAGAAGAGGCCAGGAACAGACCUUCCCCUGGGCACUCCAGAGGAAUGCAGCCCUGUCCACACCUUGAUGUCAACACAGUGGAACCACUUCUGGACUUCUGGCCUCCAGGACUUAAAAUGUGAGAAGAGAUAAACUGACAGGAAAACUGUUAAAUAAAGAGGGACUAGGGCUUGAUGAUAUUGGAAAUUCUCAACCUAUCAGACUGCAAAGGACAGAAAAAGUAGUAUAUUCACUGUAAGGAAGGUGUGCUCUGGAGAGAAGGCCCAGGGUGUGGCUGGACAACAUUUUGCUGAAGAGAUUACGUGAGUGGCUCAUGAUUCCUCUCAACUAUCUGCAGAAGUGAAGAAUGGAGAUGGGGUGACCCAGGAAAGAUCUGUGGGAGACCUUCUUGUCUAAUUGUGUGAAUUUUAUGAUAUAUACAG